RNAcentral lists this ribosomal RNA (268 nucleotides) under uncultured bacterium. RNAcentral's name for it is "partial 16S ribosomal RNA". It matches the Rfam family "Bacterial small subunit ribosomal RNA", at positions 57 to 305 of the family's 1533-position model. The record is from RNAcentral.
GCAAGUCGAACGAAGCAUUUAGAACGGAUUACUUCGGUUUGAAGUUCUUUAUGACUGAGUGGCGGACGGGUGAGUAACGCGUGGGUAACCUGCCUUGUACUGGGGGAUAGCAGCUGGAAACGGCUGGUAAUACCGCAUAAGCGCACAAUGUUGCAUGACAUGGUGUGAAAAACUCCGGUGGUAUAAGAUGGACCCGCGUCUGAUUAGCUAGUUGGUGAGAUAACAGCCCACCAAGGCGACGAUCAGUAGCCGACCUGAGAGGGUGACC